RNAcentral lists this long non-coding RNA (201 nucleotides) under Brassica napus (rape). RNAcentral describes it as "long non-coding RNA (BNAP_LNC017206)". The record is from RNAcentral. Lineage: Eukaryota; Viridiplantae; Streptophyta; Magnoliopsida; Brassicales; Brassicaceae.
GUGUGCAAACUUGAUCUCAUUACUUAUGUUAAUAAAUGCUUAGAGUUAGGUGAUGGUUAGAGUUAGGUUAGGGUAGUGAAUAUGCUUGUUAUAUUGUGGUUGUGGUGGUGAUGAAUGCUUCUGAUAACUCUCAAAUCUGAUUAAUGCGUGUUAGGAGAGUCUGCUUGGUAAUAAAUUUGUUAGAGUUAAGGCAAUCAAAUC